AAUACAUAGCAAGUCGAGCGAGAAGGCGUAGCAAUACGCUUGUAAAGCGGCGAACGGGUGAGGAAUACAUGGGUAACCUACCCUCGAGAGGGGAAUAACUCGCCGAAAGGUGAGCUAAUACCGCGUACGAUCCUUGGUCGCAAGGCGAAGGAUGAAAGCUGCACCGUGGGUGUGGCGCUCGAGGAUGGGCUCAUGUCCUAUCAGCUUGUUGGUGAGGUAACGGCUCACCAAGGCUACGACGGGUAGCUGGUCUGAGAGGACGAUCAGCCACACUGGCACUGCGACACGGGCCAGACUCCUACGGGAGGCAGCAGUAAGGAAUAUUGCGCAAUGGACGACAGUCUGACGCAGCGACGCCGCGUGGGGGAUGAAGGUCUUCGGAUUGUAAACCCCUUUCGGGUGGAAAGAUGGCUCUCGACAACGAGAGCGGACGGUACCACCAGAAGCAGCCACGGCCAACUUCGUGCCAGCAGCCGCGGUAAUACGAAGGUGGCAAGCGUUGUUCGGAUUCACUGGGCGUACAGGGUGUGUAGGCGGUUCGGUAAGCCCUCUGGGAAAGCUCCUGGCUCAACCGGGAAAGUUCAGGGGGGACUGCCGGGCUAGAGGACGGGAGAGGAGCGCGGAAUUCCCGGUGUAGCGGUGAAAUGCGUAGAUAUCGGAAGAGAAAAAGGCCCA
Molecule: ribosomal RNA, 675 nt
Filed under: uncultured bacterium
Lineage: Bacteria
Description: bacterial SSU rRNA
Rfam family: Bacterial small subunit ribosomal RNA
Source: RNAcentral